RNAcentral lists this ribosomal RNA (462 nucleotides) under uncultured Lachnospiraceae bacterium. RNAcentral describes it as "bacterial SSU rRNA". It matches the Rfam family "Bacterial small subunit ribosomal RNA", at positions 35 to 507 of the family's 1533-position model. The record is from RNAcentral. Lineage: Bacteria; Bacillati; Bacillota; Clostridia; Lachnospirales; Lachnospiraceae.
GUCGAACGGGGUCACCAUUUUGAAGCGAGUUAGCGUUGCGUAAGAGUGGAAAUGUUGGCGGCUUAGUGGCGGACGGGUGAGUAACGCGUGGGUAACCUGCCAUAUACAGGGGGAUAACACUUAGAAAUAGGUGCUAAUACCGCAUAAGCGCACGGAGCUGCAUGGCUCAGUGUGAAAAACUCCGGUGGUAUAUGAUGGACCCGCGUCUGAUUAGCUUGUUGGCGGGGUAACGGCCCACCAAGGCGACGAUCAGUAGCCGGCCUGAGAGGGUGGACGGCCACAUUGGGACUGAGACACGGCCCAAACUCCUACGGGAGGCAGCAGUGGGGAAUAUUGGACAAUGGGGGGAACCCUGAUCCAGCGACGCCGCGUGAGUGAAGAAGUAUCUCGGUAUGUAAAGCUCUAUCAGCAGGGAAGAAAGGAAUGACGGUACCUGACCAAGAAGCCCCGGCUAACUACGUG